This 755-nucleotide long non-coding RNA is filed under the name Taeniopygia guttata (zebra finch). RNAcentral describes it as "lncRNA (ENSTGUG00000024236.1)". The record is from RNAcentral. Lineage: Eukaryota; Metazoa; Chordata; Aves; Passeriformes; Estrildidae.
AGGGAGGAGUUUUGCCCAGGUUCCAGCUGGUUUUUGGUCACUUUUCCCUGCAGCCACAGGAGGUGGUUUUCCCUCUUUCUGCAAACAGGGGCUGAUUCCCAAGUGGCACUCUGGUUUGGGACUUCGAGGAGAUGAUCGAGUAGAGCUUUGGACCAGCGGGCCAGGACUGGUGCCCAGCCUCGCUGCAGAGAGGCAGCCGUGACACCAGGGGACAGAGACGGGCAGGACGUGGCAGCUCCAGCACAGACAGGGCUCUGAGCAGCAGCUCCAGGCUGGGAUAACCGAGAGCAGCUCCCGUGGCACAGCAGCGGGACAUGGACCCCCUGACAGGACAAGAGCCCAGCAAGGUGAUCGGGGUUGUCCUGGGCAUCGGGCUGGCCCUGCUGCUCCUGGCGAGUUUUGGCUACACCUUCAUCCGGUGGUACCGGCGGGGCCGCUGCCAGCACCGGCCUGACUUUGUCUUCAGCUUCUACCACUCGCGGUGAGUGGUGCCCCGGGGGCACAGGGGCAGGCUGGCACCUCCCUUUGCGCAGUGCCAAGGUGCCACAAGCCCUCUGCUCAGCCAGUUCUGCUGCUGGCAGGGGGCUGGCAGGGGCUGGAGGAGGGAGGGCAGCUUGGUGACCUCUCUGCUUUCCCUGCAGCGGGCUGGGGUCGGUGGCACUGGAGCUGGUGCCACCGUUCAGCAUCAGUGGCUCGCUGGGCACCUCGGGCAGUGGCUACGAGCCCUUCCACAACCAGGGGCUGUGAGGUGAGAG